This is an RNA transcript of Nicotiana tabacum (common tobacco), 1881 nucleotides long. RefSeq lists it as uncharacterized. Lineage: Eukaryota; Viridiplantae; Streptophyta; Magnoliopsida; Solanales; Solanaceae. The record is from RefSeq and is a predicted model, not a curated record.
UAGAUCCCCUCAACAUAACACUCAAAGCUCUUCUAUCAGAGAGGCAUUCACCAUGUUCAAUCCCCUCCACCGUAUCCCACUCCUCUUGUUCUUCCUCUCACUCUCCGCUAUCUCUGCCUCCGAAUCAGACACACCCAUUUCCCGUUUCCAAAAUUACCUCAGAAUCAACACUGCCCACCCUAAUCCAAACUACACUUCUCCCAUCACUUACCUCAUCAACUUCGCCAACUCUAUCCCAAACCUCCACUCCAAAGUUCUGCACCUAACCCCCACCAUACCCCUCCUAUUAUUAACCUGGCCCGGUACCUCCAACCCUUCACUCCCCUCCAUUCUUUUCAACUCCCAUCUCGACUCCGUCCCCGCCGAGCCCGAAAAGUGGACCCACCCACCCUUUUCGGCUCAUAAAACUUCCGAUGGAAGAAUCUUUGCACGUGGGGCCCAGGACGAUAAGUGUAUUGGCAUGCAGUAUUUGGAGGCAAUCAAAGCGAUACAGAGCAAAGAUCCCGAGUUUAAACCUUUAAGAAAUGUUCAUAUUUUAUACGUGCCCGAGGAGGAGGUGGGUGGGUUUGAUGGGAUGGGGAAGUUUGUGGAGACUAAAGAGUUUAAAGAGUUAAAUGUUGGGUUUGUGAUGGAUGAGGGACAGGCUUCAACUAAUGAUGAGUUUAGGGUGUUUUAUGCUGAUAGGACACCUUGGCAUAUGGUGAUUAAGGCUGUUGGAACACCUGGACACGGCUCUAGAUUGUAUGAUAAUACUGCUAUGGAGAAUUUGAUGAAGAGUAUUGAGGUUAUUACUAAGUUUAGGGAGUCUAAGUUUGAUAUAGUCAAGGCUGGAUUGGCUGCUAAUUCUGAAGUCAUUUCUGUGAAUCCAGUGUUUCUCAAGGCUGGAAUUCCUUCCCCAACUGGAUUUGUAAUGAACAUGCAACCCUCUGAAGCUGAGGCAGGAUUUGAUAUUAGGAUGCCACCAACGGCUGAUCCACAAAUUAUGAGGAAGAUAAUUGAAGAGCAAUGGGCACCAGCUUGGAGGAACAUGACAUAUGAGAUAACCGAGAAAGGAUUCCUGAGGGACAACAUGGGAUGUCCUUUGAUGACACUCACUUCCGACUCCAACCCUUGGUGGUCUGUUUUUAAUGAAGCUGUUACUAGAGCUGGGAGAAAACUCUCCAAGCCUGAAAUAUUAGCAUCGACAACUGAUGCUCGAUUCAUGAGACGACUGGGAAUUCCCACCUUUGGUUUCUCCCCUAUGAAGAACACCCCCAUAUUACUGCAUGACCACAAUGAGUUCCUCAAGGAUACUGUUUACUUGGAGGGGAUUAAGGUCUAUGAAUACAUAAUAAAAUUAUUAAGUUCCUUUGAGGGAUAUUAUGAACACCGGUGUAAUGCAGUUUCUCAACAAUGAAGCUUUUGAAAACUUGGUAUGAUAUUCAUCUCUUUCGAAUAUUGUUUAAUUUCAAGUUUUGCAGGGGAGUCACUCUUGUGGAAAAAGAUGAUUUGUACAUACGUUAUGGUUGUAUAACAUCACUUGCAAAAGUAAUAAUAUCAUCUUGAGAAAAGAAGAGCUGUUUUACACUUGCAAUAAAUUAUAUUGACAAAGCGUGCAGACUAUUCUUCUUUGAAGCUUCCACCAUUAUUCCUUUAAUUGAGAAGCCCAUCUGGAGUUUAGUCAGUCGAUCUUUAAACCUAUGUCAAAUAAUGUAUUACUUACUAAAUUUGCAGAAAUUAUGCUGCAGUUUAUAUGUUCGUAAUAUCUUGAUCUGGUGACAUGUAUUUUGUACAAACAGUAUGCACACUGAAAAUAUGUCCUACUGAAGUUUAAUGGUUGUAUCAUCUUAAUCAGGAUACUCCAUCUAUUUCUUUCGUAUACAAAUUUUAGAAUUUAGGUCU